UACGGGGGGUGCGAGCGUUAUCCGGAUUCACUGGGUUUAAAGGGUGCGUAGGUGGGCAGGUAAGUCAGUGGUGAAAUCUCCGGGCUUAACCCGGAAACUGCCAUUGAUACUAUCAGUCUUGAAUACCGUGGAGGUAAGCGGAAUAUGUCAUGUAGCGGUGAAAUGCUUAGAUAUGACAUAGAACACCAAUUGCGAAGGCAGCUUACUACCCGAAUAUUGACACUGAGGCACGAAAGCGUGGGGAUCAAACAGG
This 253-nucleotide ribosomal RNA is filed under the name uncultured bacterium. RNAcentral's name for it is "partial 16S ribosomal RNA". It matches the Rfam family "Bacterial small subunit ribosomal RNA", at positions 524 to 776 of the family's 1533-position model. The record is from RNAcentral.